GGGGCAAUAGCUCCGUGGUAGAGCUCCCGCCUCGAAAGCGGGAAGACCUCGGUUUGAUUCCCGGCUGCCUUC
Molecule: transfer RNA, 72 nt
Filed under: Toxocara canis (dog roundworm)
Lineage: Eukaryota; Metazoa; Nematoda; Chromadorea; Rhabditida; Toxocaridae
Rfam family: tRNA
About the family: Transfer RNA (tRNA) molecules are approximately 80 nucleotides in length. Their secondary structure includes four short double-helical elements and three loops (D, anti-codon, and T loops). Further hydrogen bonds mediate the characteristic L-shaped molecular structure. tRNAs have two regions of fundamental functional importance: the anti-codon, which is responsible for specific mRNA codon recognition, and the 3' end, to which the tRNAs corresponding amino acid is attached (by aminoacyl-tRNA synthetases). tRNAs cope with the degeneracy of the genetic code in two manners: having more than one tRNA (with a specific anti-codon) for a particular amino acid; and 'wobble' base-pairing, i.e. permitting non-standard base-pairing at the 3rd anti-codon position.
Source: Rfam by way of RNAcentral